Ictalurus punctatus (channel catfish) is the source of this 487-nucleotide long non-coding RNA. The record is from Ensembl. NCBI's taxonomy places the organism in Eukaryota, Metazoa, Chordata, Actinopteri, Siluriformes, Ictaluridae.
GUGUGUGAGUGUGUGAGUGUGUUUGGGGUAACCUUAUGUGACAUCCUCAAACUGCUCAUUCUCAGUCUGUCAUUAAACAUGAUGAACUUCCUGAGCGCAGGCGUCUUUUUUUUCUGCCAUCUGACAUUUUUCCACGGGCUUCUGCCAAAAAUCAUAUUCAACUCAUCGCAAUCCCUAAAGCCUGGAGCUAUGAGGGGGUGACGGGGUCAGCUCGCGAUGGAGGGACAUACAAGCACAGAAGCCACUCCCCCUUCUCUGGGUCUGAGGCAAAGAAGCCACUCCUCCUUCAUUUAAAACUGAAGUCAUGACUGACAGGCAUAGAGGCCACGGCUCCUUCACUGGGACUGACAGGCAUAGUGGCCACACCUCCUUCACUGGAACUGAAAAGCAUAGAGGCCACACCUCCUUCACUGAGACUGACAGGCAUAGAAGCCAUGCCUCCUUCACUUGUACUGACAAGAGCAGAGGUCACACCACUUUGAAUGGG